Molecule: long non-coding RNA, 254 nt
Organism: Ipomoea nil (Japanese morning glory)
Lineage: Eukaryota; Viridiplantae; Streptophyta; Magnoliopsida; Solanales; Convolvulaceae
Exons: 3
Source: RefSeq, a predicted model, not a curated record
UAGAACAUAAGCCAUUGUCAAGCACACUAUAGCUGCAAUAAGUACUGCAACAAUUGCAGUGGGUAUCCAGUCUGCCUGCUCUCCAGGAUUACUGCAACAUGAGACAAAUGAAGUGGUCAAAUCCAGCACCAGGUGGUUAGGGGAUUGUUAGACUGAGGCCUAAAGGGCAGUCCAACAUCCUGUCUCUCGAAAAUAGACUAUAACUUUUGGCUUGAUCCUAACAUUAACAUAGAAAACUUUCGGUAUAGUUGUCU